UGACGAGUCUAAUGCUGAAGAUGACCCUCCUGCCGAGUAGAUAUGUAGGAUUUUGUAAUAAAGAAAGUUUUCUUUCUUCUCUUUUUCUUUUGUACUUAGCCCGAAUCGUAAGCGACCGGGUUUGUAAAGUAGAAAUUUUCUAAGUAUAAAUAAGAUAUACUCUUUGCCCAUGAAUGUUUAUUGUCAGUUGCACUUAUGACUGAUCUCGAUCAGUUAUGUCCACCCGAACCUUCUGGUCGGAUCGUCAACAGUUAUACCCGAGAUUUAUCUCGAUCAGUGGUGUCUGCCCGAACCUCUUGAUCGGAUGGUGCUCGAGAUCUGUACUUUAAGCAUUUAUUAAACUCUUGGUCAGUUAUGCUCGGGACUUAUCUCGAUCAUGGAGUUUGUCCGAAGCUCUUGAUCGGAUAGUGCCCGAAACAUGUCUGUUCAAGUAGUAACGAAAUAUAUAAAUAUAGAUGAGGUUAAACAUUGACAGGAAUGGGAACUUUCAUUUAUAUCAUUUGAAUUGAAACGAUUACAUGGAUAAAACAAGAACGACAUAACUAUUACUGGUAAAAUUUUCUAAGUCUUCCAGCAUGCCAUGUAUUCUUUAUCUCCGAACCGUCCAUUGCUCGAAGCCGGUAGGUUCCGGGCUUCGGCACUCCUACCACCUCAUAAGGCCCCUCCCAGUUAGGCAUUAACUUGCCGAUGUUUUGGGGGGUUGAUGCCUCAGACUCCCGGAGGACCAGAUCUCCUACUGCAAACCUCCUUGUCUUCACCUUCUGAUUAUAGUGUCGGGCCGUUCGUUGCUGAUAGAUCGCCAACCUCAUCAUGGCGGAAUCCCGAACUUCAUCUAACAAAUCUAAAUUUGCUCUCAAACCCUCGUCAUUAUAUAGCUCUUUGUAUUGUCUGACUCGAAGAGUUGGAGAUCCGAUCUCAACAGGAAUGAGCGCAUCGGUCCCGUAUGCCAACCUGAAUGGGGAGUCUCCAGUUGUAGUCCUUGGGGUAGUUUGAUACGCC
RNAcentral lists this long non-coding RNA (999 nucleotides) under Panax ginseng (ginseng). RNAcentral's name for it is "long non-coding RNA (PGIN_LNC008546)". Lineage: Eukaryota; Viridiplantae; Streptophyta; Magnoliopsida; Apiales; Araliaceae. The record is from RNAcentral.